Peromyscus maniculatus bairdii (prairie deer mouse) is the source of this 3466-nucleotide non-coding RNA. The record is from RefSeq and is a predicted model, not a curated record. NCBI's taxonomy places the organism in Eukaryota, Metazoa, Chordata, Mammalia, Rodentia, Cricetidae.
GCAUGAGCAUGUGUGUUUAUGUAUAAGAUUGUAGUUGGGGAGGAUAAGAGCCUCCUAGUGUUUUCUUUAUACUCUGACAUUUUUUUAUAUUCAACAAUGGAUCUUCAAACUCAGAGAGGGUUGAAAGAAAAAAAAAAUAGAAGAGAAGCACCUUUCUUUAGAAGUUCAAAGCUUGGCCUUUGAGGUCUCAGAUGUGCAGGCCCAGAGAGGAUGCCUGCAAGAAGACAUGAUAAGAUAAAGGAGAUCUUCUCAUGCCUGCCUGGAAGAGCCACUGGAUUCCCUGGGCCCAAGGGUUGUGGAUGGGCACUCAAUGGUGGCAGGCUGAAGGGAAAGUCCAAAGGGCGAAGGAUAGGCUACCCGUAAGGGGUGGUCAGACCAGUGAUGGUAUGGAGAGAAACAUGCACAGGGAUGUCAUGUAUGUCUGUCAACACAGAGUGACAGACAGACACUAACCAUGGUCAUAAGAGGUGGGAUAGCAUCCAUAACAGUAAUAGAUACUAAUAACUGUCACAGAAUAUCUGUGAAACAUUGUUGAAUGCUUAAUGUAAGCCUAUCAAAGCAUCUUACAUGUAUCAAAUCCCAUCAACUCAACUACCCUAAAAGAUAGUAGGUGUUAUGUUUGAAUCCAUAUUGCCAAAUUCUCACCAAGCAGUUAACUCAUUAUGAAAGGCCAGAUACCUAGUAGGUAUUUAAGUAUUUAGUACAAUUAAUGAUUUUAGAAAAAAAAUUAAUCUGGAGCCAACAGUUCACAGACUGGAAUUAGAGAAAAGAAGGGACUAUAUCAGGCAGGGAUGUGAAAGGGCGCAAACAGGGUGUGUCCAGGGCCUGAGAACAGAUGCUCUAGGGUGUUGGAAAUGACACCAACAUUCUGGUCACUGUGUCUGCGAGAUCAGGCACAUAGAGAAGCAGCAGAUCGAAGGUGGAGUGAUAAGUCAUAUCAGAGAAAAGCUCGGGCUUGAUCCCACCUUAAAGUCAGGGCAAAGAUUGCCACACAGCAGAAAACAUCACACCGCAAUCAUCCAUAAUCAAUAAGUAAUUCAGCUGCAAUUUCUCAUCUCAUCAGAUGGUUGAUAAUCAAUGCCUGUGUCUAAUUGCUUAAGUCACAAAAUUGAGAGUGUUAUGACAUCGCCCCGAAUCAAGACCAGUGUAGACGGUGGAGAGAUAGACCAGCUAGGACUCCUUCUUAAAAUAUUUUACAGACAAAAACAGAUCAUGGGAUUCAGGCCCUGGAAUUGACAACAUCAAAUUUUAAAAGACUCAUGCUAAGCUGAAUAAUGGUCCCUCAAAGACGCUGUCUUAGUUCAGACUGCUGUAGAACAGAUUCUUACAGACAUGGCAGCUUGAACAGUACACUUCAUUUCGGACAGGCGUGGGAGUCCAGGAGCAAGGCAUCAUGAGAGCUAGUGUCUGGUGAAGGCUAUCUUCCAAGUUCAUGGACAGUACCUUCCCACUCUGUCCUCAUUUGGCAGAAAGGGAGCCAAGGAGCUCGACCAGGCCCUUUUCAUGAGGAUAUAGAUCUCAUGCGGAAAAGCUCCUCAUGAAAAUAAAUCACUUGUCAAAGGUUCUACCUGCUAACACUAUCACCCUGGGAGUUAUAGUUUCAGCCUAUCAACACUAGAAGAAUACAAUCCACAAUAGAUGCCCACAACCUCAUUCCCAGAACUUAUGAAUAGUCUGGAUUAUUUGGCAAAAGGGAAAUUAAAAUUGCUGAUGAAAUUGUGACUGUUACUCAACCUUAAGUCUGAUUUUAACUAAGGGAAUUGCCUUGGUGUAUUCAAGUUGGUUUAUGCAAUCACAAGGGUAUUUUAAAAGGUGGAGGCAGAGACAGAAGAUAGCUGGAGAGAUGGCAACAUCAGGAAGAUGCUCUAACACUGUUUAUUUUAAUGAUGGGAGAAGGUGCUAUUAACAGAAGGCACAUGUGUAUUCUCUAGAAGCCAGUCAGAGCUUGGCAACAGAUUGUCCCUUAGAGCUUCCAGACAAGAAUGCACCUAGCCAGCACCUUGAUUUUAGCCGAGUCAGACCCAUUUUGGACUUCUGACAUCCAGACUGUUAGAUGAUGCAUAUCCAUUGUUUUAAGUCACUCAAUUUGCAGUUAUUUGUUACAGCUGUCAUGAGGAACUAAUAUGGUACACUGGAAAACAGACCAUUUCUCCAGAUAGUUCAGAUUUUUAUCUUAGCAGUGGAUGUGUGGAAUGAUACUUGCCUACAUGAAACAUACAAAUACUAACAAACAAUCAUUGAUUUUUAUUUGUGUUCCUGGCAAUGUGGACAGCCAACUAUGAGUUAAGCAUAAAAAUGCCUAACUGGGUCAUCGACAUUUACAUUGGAGACAAGUCUAGGAUCCCCUGAGAGAAAACAUCUUCCUCUUACCUGGGCAUAUCCCCUUGGAAACCAAAGGUGUUCAAACAUAAUAAUAUGUCUGAACAUGGAUGAAAUAUGAUCCUUUGUUUUAGUAGCAUAAUGUAAGGGGGAAAAGCCCUGCUUCAGGGAAAGCUUCUUAAACUAUGUCAGCAGUUGAUAGAAGAAAAUUUUGGCUUCAUUUCCUAUCUGUCAGAUUCUUUCCCUGCCUUCUCUCAGCCAAGUAAUAUGGCUCUUCCUGCUAAGACUUCAGGUUCUUCUCAGCAGGGUGUAGGGUUAAGGGUCAUGUGGUCCCUUUCAGAUCAGCGCAACCCUUAACCUUAUUAAGGAACAAGACAAGAGAAUUCCAAGCAGCAUGAGAGGCCGUAGUCCCAUUAAACUUCCUUUAACCAAGUCCCCAGUGGAGUAUGAUAACACAAGGAAUGUUGCCUUGGAAUGUAGAAUGAAACCUGCCCUGUUCAGGGGUCAGAAUCUGGGGGCAAACUAAGUUUGGUUAAAAGAACACUUUAGUUCAUUUUAGACAACUUAUUGCUUGGGGGCAUCUGAGAUGGAACCAGCUUUGUGCUAACUCAACAUUAUCACCUGCACAGGAAACUGCAUUACCCACCUGCUUAACUCGAGUCCGGCACAGAAAACAGCACCUCUGACCUCAGCUUCAGACUUUGAAUUUCAUGAGCGGACACCGACUCUCUAAUAGAAUCAAUUAACCUCUGGCCACAUCAUAAGCCAAUGUCAAAAAUGAAUUCCAAGACUCUCUUCUGGAGCCCAUGAUGGUCAGAGGCUUAGAAGUUUCAAGCAUUGUCUUAGUCACUAUUCUGUUGCUGUGAAGAGACACCAUGGAAAUUCUUAUAAAAGACACCAUCUAAUGGGGACUCGCGUACACUUCAAAAGGUUUCACCAUCAAACUGAAUUGUUUGCAAAAGGCAAAAUGGAAGAGAAAGCAAGAAGAACUUCUCCUACCCUCCAUCCACGAUCCGUCUUUUUGUUCACCUUCAAGACUUCUCAGCAGAAUGUGUAACGCCAGGGACGCUUGCUGCCUGCCCUCCAUAUAUUAAUAUGACAUCAACACCAUUAAAUAUGGUAUUUAAUACUAUGAAGUAGAAUCGGA